UCUGGUAGCAAUAGCGGAGAGGACACACCUGUUCCCAUGCCGAACACAGCAGUUAAGCUCUCCAGCGCCGAUGGUAGUUGGGGUUUUACCCCUGCAAGAGUAGGACGCCGCCAGGC
Molecule: ribosomal RNA, 116 nt
Filed under: Lentibacillus salicampi
Lineage: Bacteria; Bacillati; Bacillota; Bacilli; Caryophanales; Bacillaceae
Source: RNAcentral